AAAAAAAAAAAAAAACCAAACAAGAUUUAACUGGCUCAUGGUUCUGCAGGCUGUGCAAGCAUGGAGCCCACAUCACUUUGCUUCUUUUUUCCUGUUCCACGGCUCGUCUCCAAAGAUCCUGUUCACAACCUCCCAGGCCAUGUAAUGCUGGAGAUAACUGUGCCUAGUAACAUUGCUACAAUGCUGCCAUACAGCUGUGCAUGGGUGAUGCCUGUCAUUUUCAAUAUAACUGUGAACAGUGAAGCAAGAUGGAGGUGUGGUAUGACAAUGCUGCGAUGAAUACACCUGUGCAUUCUUUUUUAGAACAAGUGUAAGGAUUCCUAUGUGCUUGGUACAUUCGUCCGCUUAUGACACUGGAAAGAGCCCAGGAAGUAACAGGGUUGAUGGUGGCAGCACCGAAGGAAAUUGAAGGAACUCUGUUGAGAAGAGGUGGGAGAGGUGACAGCUGCCUAGCCUGCCUUGCGGGGAGGCUUUCCAAGUCAGAGCAGGAUGGUGCUGACAUCCCCUUCUGCAGAGAGGUUGCUCACAGAACCACAAUUCUUCAUGAGCAAGAGGAGUCCGAGAGCCCUCAAAAUUGCAGCAACAGCAGAGGGCCCUGGCUGGGGCUGCAGCAGACACCUCAGCAGGCCACAAGAGCUGGAGCUGUGCGGAUGCGGGGGCCUUGGCUUUCCUGGCUGAGCUCUAGCCCUAGGAGAGGACAGAGGCCCAUCCAUGCACUCCUGAGGUCACAACACACUCUGAUCAUUCCCUCAAACCAGGUAUCCCCUGGAAGGAUUCGGCCGGCAACCCUCCAUCCGGGGCAGCUUCUCCACCUCCCUCCUCCAAGGCAAGGCGCUUUCCCCAAGGCUCUGGGCUUGCUGGCUUCACUUCUUGGCGACUAACCAAGGACUCUGGCCCUUGAGGAGGUAUAGAGAAGGAGCAUUUGAGAAGGAAGCUCUCUGGUGAUCGGCGCGUCCGGGGGUGCCUCCCUGACCAGGACAUCCCCUGCCCCCAGCCACUGGCUGCCAGACUCCCAGCCCCUCAGAGUUGGGAGGUGCUCUCUCUACCCUCUUCCCUCCAUCACCAUCCCACUUGUCCUCCCCUACCUGAGAAGCGAACGUGGCCCAGGCUCAAGCUCACUGGAAGGUUCUAUCGAGGAAAGGAGCUUGAGCCCAGGGUGGGGACUGCCUGCAUGCAGGACCAGCUCCUCUGUCUCUGCUUUGUAACACCCCUCCCAGCUGACUCAGUCCUCUGCUUAUUCUGUCCACACUGGCCACCGUAGGAGCUUCUGUCCUCAGCAGUCGUGCCCUAGCUGGCUGCACCCCUCACUUAGCACUUAGCACACUCGUCCCUGAUGGGUGUGCUCCUGGUGGUUCUGGUGAAGCUCCUGGAGGGUGGAGGAGUGUGCUCUUUGGUGUGCUCUGGCGAAACUCCUGGAGGAGCUGGGUCUUACAGUCCUAGGGGCCUCUUCCCUCUCCUUCCCAGCCUGGCAGGAAGCACAGUGUCUGCACACAGCAGCUGCUUAAUGAAGCUGGCUGAUGACUCAGCAAGUGGUAGAUGUGUAUGAGCCCCCGUCGAUGGCUGGAUUGUAGGGGAAACACUGAACUAGGUCCCUCCUGAGCCUGGGAGUAAGAAAGUUCCUGCUCUUUAAGAGUUCACUAUCAAAAAUGGAAGAGCCCCUUUGCACACUCUCACAUAAAGUGGAGGAAGAAAAGAACACUGAGUUCCAGACAGUUGCAGGGAGGAGAGACUCCACCAACUGAGAAGCCCAGAACUGUCUUUCCAGGGUCAUGGGAUCUGAGCUGGGCCUUGAAAGGAGGCAGAUAAGAAGCAAUGGCAUCUGCAGGUGGUCCAUGUAAACCCUGCAAGAGAUCAGAGGAACAAAGGCAUGUUAAUGAGGACACACAGGCCGGCUGUACAGUGCUUUCUUCCAGGCUCAUCAAACUCCCGAUGCCUCACUCACUGGAAACAGGUUUAAUUAUUCCCAUUAUACAGAAAGGGGACAGAAGCAAAUCGCUCAGAAAACUUGACCUAGAGGCAAAUGAUGAGUUCUGGGCAAAGCCAAGAACACACUUCAGGCUAGGCGCGGUGACUCACGCCUAUAAUCCCAGCACUUUGGGAGGC
Molecule: long non-coding RNA, 2103 nt
Organism: Chlorocebus sabaeus (green monkey)
Lineage: Eukaryota; Metazoa; Chordata; Mammalia; Primates; Cercopithecidae
Source: RefSeq, a predicted model, not a curated record